AUAUGCCCGAACUAUAAGUGUGCUCCCAACCAAGUUUUAGUGGCCAAGAAAAGUUUGUCUGAAGCUGUGAAAGCUAAACUCAGAGAAUAUGACUUUGUAAUAUUCUUGGACUUGAAAUUGAGAAGUAUUGAGAACACCAAGUUGUUGAUGUUCCUCAUGGAUAGGCUGGAUCCCAAUACGCUUACCUUGCGCAUUACAGAUAAUAAGCACUUGAAAAUUACUAGGCACUCCAUCGAAUGUGUUCUUGGGUUGCCAGAUAGGGGUACAAACAUAGUUGUACCAGGUAAAGACAUCCAAAAGAAAGCGUUAUGUGAACUGAAGAUGAAGCUUGGUGUCGAUCAAAGUGAAGAUGUCAAGGUGCAAGAUUUGAUUGCACAGAUUGCGAAAGAUGAAGAGGGUGAUGAAUUCACGAUCAGGUGCUUCGUGAUGAUCCUCCUGAACAAGUUACUCUUGCCAGGGACUUGUGAUUACAUCACAGGAAAGGAGGCUGCAUUGACGGAGGACAUCACUAAGCUGUGCUUGGUAAAUUGGGCUAAAUUAAUCUUUGAUGACAUUGUGAAUGCCUCUAAAUCAUGGCACUCAAAGAAGACUGGAACCACCAACCCCUCUAUUCAUGGCUGUGUGUUGUUCCUAGUUGUGAGUAUCACAUCCUUUCUUCACACUCAACCAUCAAAAACCAAUGUUGUGAACCCUCUUGGUAGUGAAGUUGUGACUGUGUUAAUGUAUGUGAUUUUAUAG
Molecule: ribosomal RNA, 738 nt
Filed under: Triticum aestivum (bread wheat)
Lineage: Eukaryota; Viridiplantae; Streptophyta; Magnoliopsida; Poales; Poaceae
Description: partial small subunit ribosomal RNA
Source: RNAcentral